GUUGGACCUGUAACCGACUGAGCCACCCAGGCGCCCCUCAAGGACACAGUGACACACAUUUCAGUUUGGGCAAGGGACAAUGCCAGAAGACUGUGGGGAAGAAGAGCUCCUGUGCAGAAGUGGCCAAACGUUAGCAGAGAGAGACAGAGACAGAGAUAUAUCUCAACAAAGCUGUCACUGAAGAAAGAAAGGACUAAUUGAUGGAAAGAGGCCUGGAGGAUGUAAGAAUGGCGAAACCUCUAUGUCAUUGGAAGACCUAUGUGGAGUGGCUCUAAGACAGACAAGAGGAGAGAACAGCUGUGAAG
This is a long non-coding RNA of Suricata suricatta (meerkat), 305 nucleotides long. RefSeq lists it as uncharacterized. The record is from RefSeq and is a predicted model, not a curated record. The transcript has 3 exons. NCBI's taxonomy places the organism in Eukaryota, Metazoa, Chordata, Mammalia, Carnivora, Herpestidae.